AUGAUUGAAAGAAACUGCCCCAUCAUGAGCUAGAACAUCCGAGGUUUAAACACGACGGAGCGAUGCGCGGUAGUCUGCGAGACGGCAGAGGUGCAUAAGCUAGCAAUCCUCUACCUCCAGGAGACCAAGAUCGAAGCCAGGAGUCACCCCCUGGUCAAGGAGGUAGGCGGAGCAAGGCUCGUCGACUGUGUGGUGCUUCCCGCCUCCGGCACCAGGGGCGGAGCCGCGAUUUUAUGGGACAGUAGUGUAGUAGACGUGCAAACGCAUGCUAUCGGUCAAUUCUCCAUCACCGCCCGCGUUACCUCAACGACAACAUCAACACCUUUCUGGCUAACCACGGUGUACGGACCCGUCGAUGACAGUAGAAAAGACGAGUUCUUGUCAGAAAUAGCUAGGACGACGCCGCCAACAAACGAUCCCUGCCUCAUCAACGGUGAUUUUAACCUCAUAUGCAAAGCGAGAGACAAGAACAAUAGCAACAUCAAUCGUAGAAUCAUGGGAAAAUUCCGGGCGGCGAUCGACACCGCAGGACUCCGGGAGAUUAGAUGCAAAAACCGUCGAUACACAUGGAGCAGCGAUCGCGAAGAUCCAACACUUGUCAGCAUCGACAAGUUUUUCUGCAGCAAUGCUUGGGACGCCCUCUUUCCAACUUUCCUCCUUCACGCCACUUCGAUGUCCUGCUCUGACCAAUGCCCCUUGCUGCUCGCCGCAGCCAGCGCACCAUGCUGA
This 729-nucleotide ribosomal RNA is filed under the name Triticum aestivum (bread wheat). RNAcentral describes it as "partial small subunit ribosomal RNA". The record is from RNAcentral. Lineage: Eukaryota; Viridiplantae; Streptophyta; Magnoliopsida; Poales; Poaceae.